GAUGAACGCUAGCUACAGGCUUAACACAUGCAAGUCGAGGGGUAACGAGAGGAAAGCUUGCUUUCCUUGUCGACGACCGGCGCACGGGUGAGUAACGCGUAUCCAACCUGCCCCCAACUAGGGAAUAACCUUGCGAAAGUAAGACUAAUACCCUAUAAUUUCCUCAGAUGUCAUCUGACGAGGAAUAAAGAUUUAUCGGUUGUGGAUGGGGAUGCGUCUGAUUAGCUUGUUGGCGGGGUAACGGCCCACCAAGGCAACGAUCAGUAGGGGUUUUGAGAGGAAGGUCCCCCACAUUGGAACUGAGACACGGUCCAAACUCCUACGGGAGGCAGCAGUGAGGAAUAUUGGUCAAUGGGCGGAAGCCUGAACCAGCCAAGUAGCGUGCAGGAUGACGGCCCUAUGGGUUGUAAACUGCUUUUAUACAGGAAUAAAGUUAGCCACGUGUGGUUAUUUGUAGGUACUGUAUGAAUAAGGACCGGCUAAUUCCGUGCCAGCAGCCGCAGUAA
This 506-nucleotide ribosomal RNA is filed under the name uncultured bacterium. RNAcentral describes it as "partial 16S ribosomal RNA". It matches the Rfam family "Bacterial small subunit ribosomal RNA", at positions 28 to 523 of the family's 1533-position model. The record is from RNAcentral.